Molecule: ribosomal RNA, 219 nt
Filed under: uncultured bacterium
Lineage: Bacteria
Description: partial 16S ribosomal RNA
Rfam family: Bacterial small subunit ribosomal RNA
Source: RNAcentral
GACGAACGCUGGCGGCGUGCUUAACACAUGCAAGUCGAGCGGAAAGGCCCUUCGGGGUACUCGAGCGGCGAACGGGUGAGUAACACGUGAGUAACCUGCCCCAGACUUUGGGAUAACCCUCGGAAACGGGGCUAAUACCGAAUAUUACCUGCUUCCGCAUGGUUGUUGGUGGAAAGUUUUUCGGUUUGGGAUGGACUCGCGGCCUAUCAGCUUGUUGGU